AGAGUGUAUGGUAAAUUGGUUCAGUGUUUGUUUAAAUUCCACUUCCUCUCAUGUUCGAUCCAUGCCCCCAUCUAUUUUUUUGGCCCGACUUUUCCUUCUAGAGCGACACACGUGUCGUUUGCCCCACUCCCACAUUUUUUUCAUUACGUGUUCUGUUCCUGUAAAACCUUCUGCCACACAUCAAAAUCCACCGCCCCUUCUCACUUCUCCCGUUUCUUCUGAUUUUCCACAGACAAUGACACUCUUGACCGGUGGUUUUGUUAUGAUGCGUCGCAGCAACAUAAAUGAUGGUUUCGCAGCGGCGAUGACAACGACGGGAAGAAUCGAUGGCGGUUUUGGGGUACCGUCUACGGCGGCGGCGCAAAGGUGCAACUUUUGCAGAUGACUUUUUUGUAUAAGGUGAUAUAUCGAUGUAGAUGGUUGUUGCAGGUCUAGAAAGGCAUCGUGAUUAUGUUAUAUUGUGAAAAACCUAGGGUUACAUUAUCAUUUUGAGCUGCAUAAAGGUUUUGGGUGAUAUUUAUUCUAUUUCCUCGAUGUGAAUUGAAGUUAUAAUUUCAUUAAGGAUUUGGAGAGUCAGCCGGCGCCUCGGGUGAUAGCGGCUUUCGAUAGUGAUUCCGGUAACGAUAGAAUUUCUACAGAAAGGGUGUGGGUUCGAGUCCUCUUUUGGCUUUUUUUAUCCCGUAUUUAUUUGUGCGACACGUGUUACGAUGCGAGAGAGAGGGGGCGGCACCGGCCGUUUUCCGGCGUCCGGUAGCCCAGGCGCCACCUCCGGCGAUGGCGGUUAGGGUUCCUUCAAAGUUUCGGUGAACCCUUUUCACUUUGGUUCAUCUGAGGAGUCACCAACGGUUAAGUAUUUAAUUCCGAUAUUUGUACUCCCUCUAUUGGACUUUUGUAGCUUUGUUUUUUUUUAUUUCUUUGAUUACAGGUGAGAGUGGAAUCGAGAUGAUUAACAGGUUCGAUGCGUCCAAGUUUCCGACCCGGUUUGGUGGGCAGAUACGUGGGUUUAAGGCUAAUGGGUGUAUUGAUGCUAAGAAUGACUGGAGACGUGAUGAUUGUUUGAGAUAUUGCAUUGUUGCUGGUAAAAAAGCCCUUGAAGAUGCUGAUCUUGCUGCUGAUAAACGCUCCAAGCCACCAAAAAACUUGGCUAAAAAAAUUUCAGAGGAAUGGAGGAUUCUUGCGAGGGAAGAUGAUGUAGUGGUGUGGCCAAACUCCAGUAGCGGCGCAACAUGAACAGGCCAUACCAAGGGUUCCCGGGUUAUCUGGCUGACUUCUGGUCAACUUAACACAUUUCAUUCGAAACUAUUAUUACCGGCCUGCUUACUGCUCUGCUUAAUUAAGUACCAUGGUUCGGAUUUUGGCAGCUCCAGUGGGCAUCGAAUACCUAAUGUGUUCAGGCCUUCAUCAAAGCUCAAAGCUGGUCAACGUGACUAUUCGGAAGUCGGUGAGUAUUUGGGAAGGCUAUGAAAACGAUUAAGAUAAAGAUGGCAAAAAGAGAAGAGACACAUCCAAGUUCUAUGAUGAAGAUUGUGUAGAGUUGCCACUUGGUUAACGUAUUGAUUGAUGCAGCAGAGUUUCUUUUAAUUGUUCUUAAUAGGUAAAUUAAGUAGGAUUUCGUUUAAUUGUUCUUAAAAGGUAAAUUAAGAUGCCUCACGUUGGGUUCGUUGGAUUUCCUUUUGAUUGUUCAUAAUUUGUAAGCCCCCCGCCGCAACGCGGCGGGAGAAAAACCUAGUGAUGUGAAUUUACCAACCACUUGUAGCAACAAAAACAUUCGAAAUUGCAAUCAUUCAAAUUUCAGGUUCUUUAUUCA
Molecule: long non-coding RNA, 1807 nt
Organism: Helianthus annuus (common sunflower)
Lineage: Eukaryota; Viridiplantae; Streptophyta; Magnoliopsida; Asterales; Asteraceae
Exons: 5
Source: RefSeq, a predicted model, not a curated record